CAGUAGCCGCGGUAAUACGAAGGGUGCAAGCGUUAAUCGGAAUUACUGGGCGUAAAGCGUGCGUAGGCGGUUUGUUAAGUCUGUUGUGAAACCCCCGGGCUCAACCUGGGAAUGGCAAUGGAUACUGGCAAGCUAGAGUGUGUCAGAGGAUGGUGGAAUUCCCGGUGUAGCGGUGAAAUGCGUAGAGAUCGGGAGGAACAUCAGUGGCGAAGGCGGCCAUCUGGGACAACACUGACGCUGAGGCACGAAAGCGUGGGGAGCAAACAGGAUUAGAUACCCGAGUAGUCCCUGUCUCUUAUAA
Molecule: ribosomal RNA, 301 nt
Filed under: uncultured bacterium
Lineage: Bacteria
Description: partial 16S ribosomal RNA
Rfam family: Bacterial small subunit ribosomal RNA
Source: RNAcentral